RNAcentral lists this ribosomal RNA (599 nucleotides) under Oulimnius troglodytes. RNAcentral's name for it is "SSU rRNA". It matches the Rfam family "Eukaryotic small subunit ribosomal RNA", at positions 22 to 602 of the family's 1831-position model. Lineage: Eukaryota; Metazoa; Arthropoda; Insecta; Coleoptera; Elmidae. The record is from RNAcentral.
AGUCAUACUGCUGUCUCAAGAUUAGCCAUGCAUGUCUCAGUACAAGCCUAAUUAAGGUGAAACCGCGAAAGGCUCAUUAAAUCAGUUAUGGUUCCUUAGAUCGUACCCACAUUUACUUGGAUAACUGUGGUAAUUCUAGAGCUAAUACAUGCAAACAGAGCUCCGACCGGAGACGGAAGGAGCGCUUUUAUUAGAUCAAAACCAAUCGGCGGCGGGCUUGCUCGCUGUCGUACACCUUGGUGAAUCUGAAUAACUUUCUGCUGAUCGCAUGGUCUCGCACCGGCGACGCAUCUUUCAAAUGUCUGCCUUAUCAACUGUCGAUGGUAGGUUCUGCGCCUACCAUGGUUGUAACGGGUAACGGGGAAUCAGGGUUCGAUUCCGGAGAGGGAGCCUGAGAAACGGCUACCACAUCCAAGGAAGGCAGCAGGCGCGCAAAUUACCCACUCCCGGCACGGGGAGGUAGUGACGAAAAAUAACGAUACGGGACUCAUCCGAGGCCCCGUAAUCGGAAUGAGUACACUCUAAACCCUUUAACGAGGAUCAAUUGGAGGGCAAGUCUGGUGCCAGCAGCCGCGGUAAUUCCAGCUCCAAUAGCGUAU